GGACUGGAGCCCACCAGGCUCCUCCGUCCAUGGGAUUUUCCAGGCAAGAGUACUGGAGUGGGAUGCCAUUGCCUUCUCCACUUAAAGGUGUUAUUUGUACUGUUUCACCAUUACAUUUCUUGAGAGGUCUCCUGUGAUAUAGGGCAGGACUGUUAAGCUUUGGGAGGGUGUUGGGUUGUGUGUUGGGGUCUAGAUGGGGUCAUACAUUGGGCAGAUUGUGGUGGCCAGGAGCAGAAGAUCUCAGCUCUAGUUCGUGCUGGGGAAGCUUGUGGGAAAUGCAGAUUCCUAGACCCACCUCCAGAGAUUCUGCCUCUAGCUUUGGGACCACGCCCAGAACACUGCCUUGUCACCAACUCCCAUGUUGAAGCUGAAGGUCUGCAUUCCUUACUUUGAGAAACAGCGACUCUGGCCAUGGACCAGCCUGCUGGCCUGCAGGUGGACUACGUCUUCCGGGGUGUGGAGCAUGCUGUGCGGGUGAUGGUGUCUGGGCAGGUGCUAGAGCUGGAGGUGGAGGACCGGAUGACGGCCGACCAGUGGCGGGGCGAGUUCGAUGCCAACUUCAUCGAAGAUCUGACUCACAAGACAGGGAACUUCAAACAGUUCAGCAUCUUCUGUAACAUGCUGGAGUCGGCCCUCACCCAGAGCAGUGAGUCGGUCACCCUUGACCUGCUGACCUACACAGAUCUGGAGUCCCUGCGGAACCGAAAGAUGGGGGGCCGCUCAGGCCCCUUGGCCUCGAGGUCUGCCCAGCUCAACUCCAAGCGCUACCUGAUCCUCAUCUACUCUGUGGAGUUUGACAGGAUUCACUACCCGCUGCCCCUCCCGUACCAGGGCAAGCCGGACCCUGUGGUCCUGCAGGGAAUCAUUCGCUCACUAAAGGAGGAGCUGAGCCGCCUUCGAGGGCUGGAUGGCCAGGACACUCGGGACGGCCGGGAAACCGAGAUCUGGCACCUACGGGAGCAGGUGUCGCGCUUGGUGUCUGAGAAGCGCGAGCUGGAGGCCCAGCUGGGCAGGUUGCGCGAGGAGGCGGUGGCCGGGCGGGCGGCGCGCCAGGAGGUCGAGUCUCUGCGCGGGCUCGUGCGCGGCCUGGAGCUGGAGCUGCGGCAGGAGCGCGGCCUUGGGCACCGCGGGUCCGGCCGUCGAAGCCAGGAUUGCCGCCGCCUGGCCAAGGAGCUCGAAGAGGUGAAGGCGUCGGAGCGGAGCCUGCGUGCGCGGCUGAAGGCGCUGAACACCGAGCUGGCCCUGUACAAGAGGGGGAGACGGACCCCGCCGGUGGUGCCGCCCUCGGCGCGGGAAGAUCGGGCUUCCACGUCCCGGGAGCGCUCGACGUCGCGUGGCCGUGGCGCCGCCCGCUCCUCAUCCCGGGAGAGCGGCCGCGGAGGCCGGGGUCGAGGCCGCCCUGCCCGCCCCUCGCCCUCGCCCACAGGUGGUCGCGUGCCCCGUUUCGACCCAACAGCCUUUGUGAAAGCCAAGGAGAAGAAGCAGAGAGAGAUCAAGAUGAAGCAGCAGCGGAACCGAUUGGGCAGCGGAGGAAGCGGGGACGGCCCAUCCGUCUCCUGGUCUUGCCAGACUCGGCCGCCGGCAGUGGUGACCGGUCGAGGAGACGCGGCUAACCGCUCCCGAAACCGCAGCUCCUCGGUGGACAGUUUCCGCAGCCGCUACUCGUCCGCCAGCUCCUGCAGCGAGUUAGAGGAUUUCUCUGAGUCCCUCCCUAGAGGCGUUCGCCGCAGGGGGAAGGCGCCCAGCCCCACCACGUGGAGUGGAUUCAAUACGCAGCAGAAGUCCACCCCCCUUGAACGCGGUCACCAUCAGAGACGCCUGGCCAGUUCAGGGGGCUGGGUUCCCAUCAAAGAGUACAGCUCGGACCACCAGGCAGCUGACAUGGCCGAAAUAGAUGCCCGCCUGAAGGCCUUGCAGGCAUACAUGAACCAACUGGACACGCGGUCGUGACCUCGGAUGCUGACUGGACCUCCAACCCCACCCACCGCUGGAUUCGGCGUGGGGGCGGGGCCGGUGUGUCCCGGCCCUGCCCCUCCUGGUGCUCUUGGGGAGGGUCUCAGGCGUGUGAGGCCCCACCCCCUCCCGCAGGCAUGGCAUGCUGGGAGGGAGGACCUUCCCAUCCGAUCCACAGCUGUAGCUGCCACUUAUCAAGCGCUUCUGGGGCUUCCCUGGUGGCUCAGACGGUAAAGAAUCUACCCGCAAUGCAGGAGUCCAGGGUUCGAUCCCUGGGUCGGGAAGAUUCCCCUCGAGGAGGAAAUGGCAAUUCAUUCCAAGCACUUCUCAGGUUAACCCUAACCCUCCACUUCAUGGACUGACCUAAGAACUUUUAUAGAGAUGAACUCGUCUGAAACCGUGUGGUUGGAAAUGGACUUUAUCCAAAAGAGGAAACGAGGCUCAGAGAAACGGAAUCACGCCUGAGGUCACAGAGGUUGUAGGUGGCAGAGCCUCCCAGCCAGGACGCACCACGAAGUGCCAUCCCCCAGAACCCAUGUCAGCCCCCUCACUGAUGGCUGGACACUUACCCAUGUAGUUGCCCAUGAAGGAGAUGCCGAUGGCUAUGGGGUUCCACGUGGGCCCAGAGUGGGCACCUUUGAUGUUCCAGCCCCGGCCCUCAUACACGAGCCCAUCUUCUCCGAUCAUGAAACUGUGGAUGGGAGAAUGAUGGAGGGCUUCCUGGAGGAGGACUCCUCCCUCCUUUGCUCACCCCAUCCCUGUCCCUGCCCCUGCCACUCACAAUUUCCCCAACAACCCUCCUCCUUAUCCCCUGAUCUUCCACAAUAAAAACAAUGACCCUCGCCCUU
RNA transcript from Bubalus bubalis (water buffalo), 2801 nucleotides. It is a transcript of the gene named coiled-coil domain containing 61, with no coding region annotated. NCBI's taxonomy places the organism in Eukaryota, Metazoa, Chordata, Mammalia, Artiodactyla, Bovidae. The record is from RefSeq and is a predicted model, not a curated record. The transcript is spliced from 15 exons.